RNAcentral lists this ribosomal RNA (253 nucleotides) under uncultured bacterium. RNAcentral's name for it is "partial 16S ribosomal RNA". It matches the Rfam family "Bacterial small subunit ribosomal RNA", at positions 524 to 776 of the family's 1533-position model. The record is from RNAcentral.
UACGUAGGGUGCAAGCGUUGUCCGGAAUUAUUGGGCGUAAAGAGCUCGUAGGCGGUCUGUUGCGUCGGCUGUGAAAACCCGGGGCUCAACUCCGGGCCUGCAGCCGAUACGGGCAGACUAGAGUUCGGUAGGGGAGUCUGGAAUUCCUGGUGUAGCGGUGAAAUGCGCAGAUAUCAGGAGGAACACCGGUGGCGAAGGCGGGACUCUGGGCCGAUACUGACGCUGAGGAGCGAAAGCGUGGGGAGCAAACAGG